RNAcentral lists this long non-coding RNA (6959 nucleotides) under Brassica napus (rape). Its description in RNAcentral is "long non-coding RNA (BNAP_LNC002390)". The record is from RNAcentral. Lineage: Eukaryota; Viridiplantae; Streptophyta; Magnoliopsida; Brassicales; Brassicaceae.
UGGUAUUGCUCGUGUAGCUUGUUGCAUCAGGCGCAUAUGCGAUGGCAGUGUUGUGAGAGAUGAAUCGAGAGAAUCACACAUACCUGUACUUGUGAAAGAUCAUCUCUUUACAUUUGGAGGUUCUUUGAUCCUAAAUGAAGGCAAUGAACCUGAAGUAGAUGCAACAUUCAGCGAGCUUAUGUUCGAGUUCAAGGCCAACAUUAAAAUGGAGAUUAAAGGAUGUCAAUUUACAGUUCUUGGGGGCAAAAGGGCCUAUGCUACAUAUUCUAGAUGGAAUGAAGAAGUUUCUAGGCUGCAAGAUAAAAGGAUAAAGCUAUGAAACUGAGGAACACAGAUAGGAUCCUCAACAUUGAAGAUUGUUCUGGUUUUUUAAUUUAAUGGAGCCCUUAUACAGACACAUGAUGAUAUUGUCAACGCCAUGAAAGAUAAAGCAGCAUAAGAGCUUCUCGAUGUGAGCUGUUAUCAGUAUGUAUACCAACAGCUUCAGAAGAAUCUUGUUGUUCAGGUUUGUACAUGAAGCUUUCAAAUGAUAUCAAAUUGUUUUACAAUUUAUACUUAUGAAUUAUAAUCUAUGGAAUUAUGGGUGGUGAGAAACACUCUGUUUCUACCUUCUCCUACUCUGUAUUAAACUCUUAUCAGUUAAUAUAUGAUGAGUUUGUUGUUCAAAAAAAAAAAGUCUAUGGAAAAUAUGGGGUUUUUAUGGAAAUAAAUCAAAUAGCUAAUAGUUUUAACUCUCAUCUAAUCGUGAAAGAUAAAAAGAAAGAUUCAUAUUCAUAUGGAUUAUAAUGGUUAUUUUAGUUGGAAAUCUAAAUGUGAAGGUAGAAUUUAAUUCGCUUACUCGUUGACCCAUAAUGUCACGCUUCCUAGACUCAAAAACUACUAUGAAUUGUGCAGCGCAAUGUCGAUCGAGUUGGUGUUUGACCAAUGAGAGUUGUAGCCAAUUAGCCAUUUCAAAUUUCCAAAAUCUCUUUUUUCCCUCCCUCUUCAUUGUUUCCAUCGCCGUGUUCUCAUCCAAAAAGAGAAAACAUCUUUAUUACAAAUUUUAUGUUCACAAAUAUUUUCUCAAACAGUAGUUGUUCCCGGCACAGCAAAACUUGGAAAUACUAAUCCUAGAAUGCCAUUGAUAAAUAACACAAUUAAUGUAAGUAAUGGUUUAUUGUGUACGCAACUAAACAUAGACAUCAUACAAAUUUUAGUUAUACAAGUAAUCGAUGGAAUCGUGGGAUUGGCAUUUCCUUUUUUUUUGCUGUGCCAGGAACAACUACAGUUUUGGAAAACAUUGUGAACAAAAAAAUUAAUUAACAAAAAUGUUUGCUCUGAAUCAUUACCAUGAAGUUUGCAUCUUCUUAAGUUAAAAGUGGAAAAAAGCGUAAGACACCAACGAUAUUUAUAAAUACAAUUUGUAUACUUUCUAGGUGUAAUUGUGUACACAACCUUAUACCAUGAGACACUGAGACAUACAUACAUUAAUCGUGUUCUUUAUUUUUACACGCACACAUGACAUAGUGUUUUUAAGUGUUCUUUACGUUUAGUUCAAGAAAAAGGUGUUCUUUAAUCUUUACGUGUCUAACUUUUUAAUGCGUUUCUGUUAUACACGAAAAUAUCAUGCAUUAAACACACCUUAUGUGUACAUGGUUUUUUGUGUGCGUACAUCAUUUAUGCGUGUGUUUAUAGUUUACCGUUCGGAAAAUAUUCUUAAGAUUUAUUUUAGAAAUGUACUCUUUUUUUUUUGGUAAAAUGCUGAAUAUGUACGAAUGAAAGAAAAGAGAUGAAGAAAUUGAUUAUUCUAUAAAUUAUGAAGAAAUUUAUAGUAGUUAUAAUAUUUUUUGAGUAAAAAUUUGGAAAUAGAAUUUAUAUUUUUAAUAUUAUAAAAUAUAUAAAUGUAUAAUAUUAUUUUAUAACUAAUUUCAAAAUUAAUGAAAAUAUUUACAUAUACUUUUUGAAAAUUAAGAUCUUGUUAAAAUCUUUUAAACAGACUUGUUAGAACUUUUAAAAUAUAUAUUUAUAUUUAAAACAAAAAGAUAUCAAAAAAAAUUGUGAUUAACGUAGUUCAAAAAUUAUAUAUAUUAUUAGUCCUAAUAAAAUAUACUAGAUUUUGAUCCGCGCUUGGAAAGCACGGGGUUUUUGGAUUAUAUUAUAAUACAAAGUCUUAUUAUAUUGAAAAUAUAAUUUUUAACAGUUAUAUAAUCUAUAAAUUAGUUUAUUUGAUAUUUUAUAUGUACACUUUUAUGUAAAUUUCUUUUACGCAUGAGAAUUAUAUCCGGAUCAAAAAAAUAAACCGAACCGAUCCGGAAAUAUAGGUUUAGUUCAGUUCCAGAGAAGAUAACCUAUCUGGGGUUUUUUUGGAUCCGUAUGUCUUUGUUUGAGUCCGGGUCCUACCCUAGACCCGAUCAUAAAUAUGUUGUGUUUAUUAGGUAUAUUUGGAUAUUUCGAAUAUGUUUCCAGCAUUAUGGAUAUUUUUUUUAGAUUUUUGGUUUACGAUUAUAGUUUUUGAUUUCAUGUAAAUUUUCAAAGUAAAAUUUUUUUUGGGUAUUUGGAUAAAAUUUUGGGUAUUUUCAGUUCAAUGACAGAUUUUGAAUAAGAUUUUGAAUUUUUAGGUAUUUGAAUUUUUUUGGCUAUUUGUUUGGAGUUUCAAGUACUUUUCGUGUUUCAGAUAUUUUCAGAUUUUUUAGAUAUUUCAAAUUUUUUUAGGAUCCUAAAUACCCGAACAGAUGUAGACCUAUUACGUCCAUAUCGGGUCCAACAACCUUUUGAUAUAGAUUUUUAAUGUUAUUGUAUAAAAACAUGGUUGAUGAAAUAUUUUUAGAAAACUCAUUUUUAAAUAUGAAAAUAUCUAUCAAACUAUAGACGGUUGAAAGUUUAGUAUAUAAUAUGAGAUUUUAGUAUGAAAUUUUAUAUAUGAUAUGAUUACAUUAUUAUAAAGGAAAGAUGAAGUUAGAAUGUACACAUAUAUGUCGUGUAACUUCUCUUGUUUUAAAUCAUAUAUUAUAUGAUAAAAUUGAUAAUAUAAAACAUUAGUUUCAAUGCUUUUAUGAUUAAAAGUCAAAAUGGUAAAUAUAGUAAUAGUAAUGAUUAAGAUGUAGGAGUAAUAUUUGAAUAAAUAAAAGAAUUGAAUAAAUUAUUGUUAGAGAAAUACAUGGUAACAUAUUGUUAGUCUAAGUUUAAAAUAGGACCAAAAAAUAAUGAGUUAAAUGAAAGGGUCCAAACAACUUUAUAAGUAGAUUUUUUAAGACUCCUUCCCUUUUAAUAGUAUUGAUUUAAUAAAAAAUUAAAGGAUGGUCCAAAAUAUAAAACAAUACAUGAAAGAUUUCAUUAUUUCUAUUUUAAUGGAUAAUAUAGACUAUAAUUAGAAAUUUUAAGAAAAUAGUAUACAUAUUUUUUUUUUAAUAAAAUCUCAACUAAUAUUAAUUUAUAAUAAUAUUAGAGUACUAAUCACAAAAUUAGUCAAUGAUUCAUUUUAUAAUAAUAUUUAAAAUAUCUAAUAAGAUUUUUUAGAUUUUUUUCUCAACAUAUUUUUAUAAUUAAAAAAUAAGACAAUUUUAUAGGUGAGUUAUUAUAUAUGUCAAUUACUUAAGAUGUGAUAUCUUAAUGAUGCAUAAUGUUAAUUAGAAUUAAAUGAAAUAUAAUUUUCUAGGAAAAAUCCAUUUUAAAAAAAUCACACAUUAAGAGAAGUUGUGACUUUUGUUUUAAUAUAAUAGAUAAGAGCUUACUGGCAAAAACUAGUAAUUGUUUAACUGACACCACAACAUAUAAUAUUAGUUUUGUUCUGAAUAUCAGCUAUUCCAACUUUGAGAUUUUUUUUUUUUAGGAAUGAGUAGGUUUGAGCUUUCGGGUUCGGGUUAGGAUCAGGUUUUCGAAUUUAGCCUUAGGUCUCAUUCGAAUUUUCUAUAUUUGUUCGAGUUAUGUUCGGUUAAUAAUAUUUUGAGUUCGAUUCAAACACUAAAAUCAGUAGGUUUGGGUGUUCGGUUUCGGAUUGAAUUUUCAUGUUUAGCCUUCUAAAUCUCAUUCGGGUUUUUAUAUAUGUUCAUGUCAUGUUCGGUUAAUAAUAUUUUGGGUUUGGAUAUAUUUGAUAGCUCUAUUUACUAUCUAUUUUGGAUCUGAAUUUAUUUGGGGUUCAGUUAAUAAUAUUCUGAGUUUGGGUAUUAAAAGAGUUUAUGUAGAUGAUAUGACUAUAUGUGAAUGCGGGGUUGUUUAUCUUUCACCUUAGGAACAAUGAAGCUGAUAUGAUUGAGAAACUUGCGUUGGAUAUCUCUAGUGCAUUAAACGUUACACCUUCAAGGGACUUUGAUGAUCUCGUUGGAAUAGAAGCUCAUAUCAAAAAUCUGAAGCCAUUGUUAUCUCUAGAGUCUAGUGAAGUGAGGAUUGUAGGUGUUUGGGGUCCUGCGGGAAUUGGGAAGACAACCAUUGCAAGAGCUCUAUACACUCGACUGUCUCCUAUUUUCCAGCAUAGUGCAUUCAUGGGGAACAUUAAGGAAACAUAUAGGAGAAUCAGCCUCGAUGAUUACGGUUCGAAGUUGCAUCUGCAAGAAGAGUUUUUGUCUAAGCUUAUCAACCAUAAAGAUGUGAAGAUACCUCACUCAGGUGUGGUAAGAGAAAGGUUGAAGGACAAGAGAGUCUUUGUUGUUCUUGAUGAUGUUGAUGAACUGGAGCAACUCAUUGCCUUGGCAAAGGAGCCUCGAUGGUUUGGUUCUGGAAGUAGGAUUGUAGUGACCACACAAGAUAGACAGCUUCUGAAAGCACAUGGUAUCGACCUUGUAUACAAGGUGGAACUUCCGUCUAGACUCGAAGCUCUUGAGAUCUUCUGUCAAUCUGCUUUUGGACAAAAGCAUCCUCCUUGUGUCGGUAUCAGGGAGCUCGCGCUACAAGUGACUCAUCUUGCUGGAUAUCUUCCUUUGGGUUUAACCGUUUUGGGCUCCUACUUGCGAGGGUUUUCUAAAGAAGAGUGGGAAUAUGCAAUACCAAGACUUAACACAAGUCUUGAUGGUAAAAUUGAGAAGACUUUGAGAUUCAGCUAUGAUGCCUUGCAUAGUAAAGAUAAAUCCAUAUUUCUUCACAUUGCUUGUUUGUUCAAUGGUAAGAACGUCGAGGAUGUGAAGAUGUUGCUUGAGAAUAGUAACUUGGACGUUGACCACGGACUUAAAGCCUUGGCUGAUAAAUCUCUUAUAGAUACUCAUUGGGGACGCAUACAUAUGCACUCUCUGUUACAAAAAAUGGGUAGAGAGAUCGUCUGUCAACAGUCUGUUCACGAGCCUGGAAAACGUCAGUUCUUGGUUGAUGCUGAGGAGAUUAGGGAUGUACUUGCCUGCAAAUCCGUAAGCACUUCUACACUCUUAUCUUUACAUCUAACGAUAUAGUCUCUCACUCUGUGGAGUUUUUUUUUCAGGGUACAGCAACUGUCUUAGGCAUAUCAUUCGAUGCAUCGAAAAUCAAUGGAGAGUUAUCCAUAAGUAAGAAAGCCUUUAAAGGAAUGCAUAAUCUUCAGUUCUUGGAGAUAUACAAGACAUGGAAUGCUAAAUCCAGACUAAAUCUGCCACAGGGUCUAAACUAUUUACCCCACAAACUUAGAUUGCUACACUGGGACUCGUUUCCUAUGAGAUCUUUGCCUUCCAAGUUCUCUGCAGAGUUCCUUGUGGAACUCAGAAUGAUAUUUAGCAAGCUUGAGAAACUCUGGGAAGGAAUCAUAGUAAGUCCUCCAGAAAUAUUUUCUUACACAAGUUCUCAUUAUAUACUGAACUGACAUGUGGCCUUAUCUGUUGCUUGUUAUGGUAUGAGUUCAGCCACUUAGGAGUCUCAAAGUGAUGGAUGUGAGUUACUCCAGAAAGCUCAAAGAGAUUCCUAAUCUCUCAAAUGCCACAAACCUUAAGAAAUUUUCAGCAGAUGGUUGUGAAAGCCUCAGUGCAUUCCCACAUGUCCCUGACUGCAUCGAGGAGCUUGAACUAAGCUACACAGGAAUAACAGAAGUUCCUCCAUGGAUCAAGAAUCUCUGUGGGCUGCAGAGAGUCUGUAUGAGGCAAUGCUCGAAACUAACCAAUAUCUCUAUGAACGUUUCAAAGCUCGAGAACCUUGAAGAAGUGGAUUUCUCAGGCAGUGUGGAUGGUAUACUGUUUACUGCAAUAGUUAGUUGGCUCUCUGGUGUCAAGAAAAGGCUGACGAUAAAGGCUAAUAAUAUUGAAGAAAUGUUACCAAAAUGUCUACCGAGAAAGGCAUAUACUUCUCCAGUUUCACUGGAUUUGAGUGGUAACGAAGAUAUCAAAACUAUUCCAGACUGCAUCAAACAUUUUUCUCAGCUUCACAAGCUUGACAUCAGAGAAUGCAGAAAGCUUACAUCACUUCCACAGCUUCCAGAAUCGCUUUCAGAGCUAAAUGCACAAGAGUGUGAGUCUCUUGAGAGAAUACAUGGUUCGUUUCACAAUCCAGACAUCUGUCUCAAUUUUGCAAACUGCUUGAAACUCAACAGAGAAGCAAGAGAGCUCAUAUGUGCAUCACCUAGCAGAUACACCAUCUUACCUGGUGAAGAACAGCCUGGAAUGUUUAAAGACCAAACUUCAGGAGAUCUGUUAAAGGUUGUGCAUAUGAUUCAGAGACCCUUUCCUCGAUUCCUGAGAUAUAAGGCUUGCAUUAGGCUUCUUGCUCGGUCAGCUGUCUAUGACGAUGACUCUGGUGGUAUUGCUCGUGUAGCUUGUUGCAUCAGGCGCAUAUGCGAUGGCAGUGUUGUGAGAGAUGAAUCGAGAGAAUCACACAUACCUGUACUUGUGAAAGAUCAUCUCUUUACAUUUGGAGGUUCUUUGAUCCUAAAUGAAGGCAAUGAACCUGAAGUAGAUGCAACAUUCAGCGAGCUUAUGUUCGAGUUCAAGGCCAACAUUAAAAUGGAGAUUAAAGGAUGUCAAUUUACAGUUCUUGGGGGCAAAAGGGCCUAUGCUACAUAUUCUAGAUGGAAUGAAGAAGUUUCUAGGCUGCAA